RNAcentral lists this ribosomal RNA (167 nucleotides) under uncultured bacterium. RNAcentral describes it as "partial 16S ribosomal RNA". It matches the Rfam family "Bacterial small subunit ribosomal RNA", at positions 1332 to 1500 of the family's 1533-position model. The record is from RNAcentral.
UUGCUAGUAAUCGCGGAUCAGCAUGCCGCGGUGAAUACGUUCUCGGGCCUUGUACACACCGCCCGUCACACCAUGGGAGUCGGUAACACCCGAAGUCUGUAGCCUGACGCAAGAGGGCGCAGCCGAAGGUGGGAUUGAUGACUGGGGUGAAGUCGUAACAAGGUAGC